AUUGAACGCUGGCGGCAGGCCUAACACAUGCAAGUCGAACGGUAGCACAGAGGAGCUUGCUCCUUGGGUGACGAGUGGCGGACGGGUGAGUAAUGUCUGGGAAACUGCCCGAUGGAGGGGGAUAACUACUGGAAACGGUAGCUAAUACCGCAUAACGUCGCAAGACCAAAGAGGGGGACCUUCGGGCCUCUUGCCAUCGGACGUGCCCAGAUGGGAUUAGCUAGUAGGUGGGGUAACGGCUCACCUAGGCGACGAUCCCUAGCUGGUCUGAGAGGAUGACCAGCCACACUGGAACUGAGACACGGUCCAGACUCCUACGGGAGGCAGCAGUGGGGAAUAUUGCACAAUGGGCGCAAGCCUGAUGCAGCCAUGCCGCGUGUAUGAAGAAGGCCUUCGGGUUGUAAAGUACUUUCAGCGAGGAGGAAGGCGUUGUGGUUAAUAACCGCAACGAUUGACGUUACUCGCAGAAGAAGCACCGGCUAACUCCGUGCCAGCCGCCGCGGUAAAAGGG
This 511-nucleotide ribosomal RNA is filed under the name uncultured Enterobacterales bacterium. RNAcentral's name for it is "bacterial SSU rRNA". It matches the Rfam family "Bacterial small subunit ribosomal RNA", at positions 29 to 528 of the family's 1533-position model. The record is from RNAcentral. Lineage: Bacteria; Pseudomonadati; Pseudomonadota; Gammaproteobacteria; Enterobacterales.